This 692-nucleotide ribosomal RNA is filed under the name uncultured bacterium. RNAcentral describes it as "bacterial SSU rRNA". It matches the Rfam family "Bacterial small subunit ribosomal RNA", at positions 39 to 770 of the family's 1533-position model. The record is from RNAcentral.
GCGAGAUGCUUUACACAUGCAAGUCGUACGAUAUUUUUUAACUCGGGUGGCGGACGGGUGAGUAACACAUAAUAUUUUGCCUUUAGGAGGGGGACAACAAUUGGAAACGAUUGCUACCACCCCAUAUGCUUUCGAGUGAAAUGUAUUUUUCCGCCAAAAAAGAAGCUUGCGGCUGAUUAGCUUGUUGGUAAGGUAAUGGCUUACCAAGGCGACGAUCAGUAUCUGGUUUGAGAGGACGAUCAGACACACUGGAACUGAGACACGGUCCACACUCCUACGGGAGGCAGCAGUGGGGAAUUUUCCGCAGUGGGCGAAAGCCUGACGGAGCAAUCUCGCGUGAGGGAUGACGGCCUAUGGGUUGUAAACCUCUUUUUUCAGGGAAGAACAAAAUGACGUGUACCUGAAAAAUAAGCAUCGGCUAACUCCGUGCCAGCAGCCGCGGUAAGACGGAGGAUGCAAGUGUUAUCCGGAAUCGCUGGGCGUAAAGCGUCUGUAGGUGGUUUAAUAAGUCAACUGUUAAAUCUUGAGGCUCAACCUCAAAAUCGCAGUCGAAACUAUUAGGCUAGAGUACAGUAGGGGUAAAGGGAAUUUCCAGUGGAGCGGUGAAAUGCGUAGAGAUUGGAAAGAACACCGAUGGCGAAUGCUCUUUACUGGGCUAUUACUAACACUCAGAGACGAGAGCUAGGGUAGCA